AGCGUAUUUUAUUCUUGAGAACAUGCUGCCGGAUAUCUUCAAAUGCGGGCGAAAUCCGCGGCCAGAUAUCCUCGCGCGGCCGGUGCGGCCGAUAACGCUGAUUGCGCCGCGUUUGGGCGCGGAACUGCGAAAGCUGCCGCCAGCCUGCCCCNCGGAGCGGCUCUGAAUCAAAGAGGUUGUUCCCCGCGGAAACAGACUUGGAGAGAUACAAUU
RNAcentral lists this unclassified non-coding RNA (213 nucleotides) under Hevea brasiliensis (rubber tree). Lineage: Eukaryota; Viridiplantae; Streptophyta; Magnoliopsida; Malpighiales; Euphorbiaceae. The record is from RNAcentral.